UACGGGGGGUGCGAGCGUUGUCCGGAAUCACUGGGCGUAAAGGGCGCGUAGGUGGCUUGGUAAGCGCGUGGUGAAAGCCCGGGGCUCAACCCCGGGUCUGCCAUGCGAACUACUAUGGCUUGAGCACUGUAGAGGCAGGUAGAAUUCCGGGUGUAGCGGUGGAAUGCGUAGAGAUCCGGAAGAAUACCGGUGGCGAAGGCGGCCUGCUGGGCAGUGGCUGACACUGAGGCGCGACAGCGUGGGGAGCAAACAGG
RNAcentral lists this ribosomal RNA (254 nucleotides) under Gemmatimonas sp. RNAcentral describes it as "partial 16S ribosomal RNA". It matches the Rfam family "Bacterial small subunit ribosomal RNA", at positions 524 to 776 of the family's 1533-position model. RNAcentral also lists the same sequence under 1 other name. Lineage: Bacteria; Pseudomonadati; Gemmatimonadota; Gemmatimonadia; Gemmatimonadales; Gemmatimonadaceae. The record is from RNAcentral.